RNAcentral lists this ribosomal RNA (420 nucleotides) under uncultured bacterium. RNAcentral describes it as "bacterial SSU rRNA". It matches the Rfam family "Bacterial small subunit ribosomal RNA", at positions 35 to 499 of the family's 1533-position model. The record is from RNAcentral.
GCUGGCGGCAGGCUUAACACAUGCAAGUCGAGCGGGCGCUUUCGGGCGUCAGCGGCGGACGGGUUAGUAACGCGUGGGAACGUGCCCUUUGCUCUGGAAUAGCCCUGGGAAACUGGGGGUAAUACCGGAUGUGCCCUGAGGGGGAAAGAUUUAUCGGCAAGGGAUCGGCCCGCGUCUGAUUAGGUAGUUGGUGUGGUAACGGCGCACCAAGCCGACGAUCGGUAGCUGGUUUGAGAGGAUGAUCAGCAACACUGGGACUGAGACACGGCCCAGACUCCUACGGGAGGCAGCAGUGGGGAAUCUUAGACAAUGGGCGCAAGCCUGAUCUAGCCAUGCCGCGUGGGUGAUGAAGGCCUUAGGGUCGUAAAGCCCUUUCGCCGGGGAAGAUAAUGACGGUACCCGGUAAAGAAACCCCGGCUA